GGAUGUGAGGGCGAUCUGGCUGAGAUAUCUGUCACCCCACUGAUCGCCAGGGCUGAUUCGGCUGAUCUGGCUGCCUAGGCGGGUGGCCCCUUCCUCCCGCACCUCUCCAUGUGCGUCCCUCCCGAAGCUGCACAUUCGGUCGAAAAGGAGGAGCAUCCCCCAUAGAGGAGGACAAGUCAAGGAUAUAGGAGUAGCUGCACGCCCGUUAACAAGCUCUCAAGGUCCUCCAAACGAGCUCUCAAGGUCCGCUUACUGGCCUGUUUUAUCCCAAGCUAGUUACA
Molecule: unclassified non-coding RNA, 281 nt
Organism: Nomascus leucogenys (northern white-cheeked gibbon)
Lineage: Eukaryota; Metazoa; Chordata; Mammalia; Primates; Hylobatidae
Gene: 7SK
Rfam family: 7SK RNA
About the family: 7SK was discovered as an abundant small nuclear RNA in the mid-70s but a possible function has only recently been suggested. Two independent studies have found that 7SK RNA binds the CDK9/cyclin T complex (known as elongation factor P-TEFb). P-TEFb activates transcription by phosphorylating the C-terminal domain of RNA polymerase II.
Source: Ensembl